UGGGGAAUAUUGCACAAUGGGGGAAACCCUGAUGCAGCGACGCCGCGUGAGCGAAGAAGGCCUUCGGGUCGUAAAGCUCUUUUAUGAGGGAAGAUAAUGACGGUACCUCAAGAAAAAGCCACGGCUAACUACGUGCCAGCAGCCGCGGUAAUACAUAGGUGGCAAGCGUUGUCCGGAAUUAUUGGGCGUAAAGCGCGCGCAGGUGGUUUAGAAAGUCUGAUGUGAAAGCCCACGGCUCAACCGUGGAGGGUCAUUGGAAACUAAUAAACUUGAGUGCAGGAGAGAAAAGUGGAAUUCCUAGUGUAGCGGUGAAAUGCGUAGAGAUUAGGAGGAACACCGGUGGCGAAAGCGGCUUUUUGGCCUGCAACUGACACUGAGGCGCGAAAGCGUGGGGAGCAAACAGG
RNAcentral lists this ribosomal RNA (404 nucleotides) under Verrucomicrobiota bacterium. Its description in RNAcentral is "Verrucomicrobia bacterium partial 16S ribosomal RNA". It matches the Rfam family "Bacterial small subunit ribosomal RNA", at positions 355 to 776 of the family's 1533-position model. The record is from RNAcentral. Lineage: Bacteria; Pseudomonadati; Verrucomicrobiota.